Nomia melanderi (Alkali bee) is the source of this 1161-nucleotide non-coding RNA. The record is from RefSeq and is a predicted model, not a curated record. NCBI's taxonomy places the organism in Eukaryota, Metazoa, Arthropoda, Insecta, Hymenoptera, Halictidae.
AAAGAAUGUAACGUAAUUUAUUACCCGUUGAAUGACUCUCUACUUUUGAAUUCGUUGAUUGAAUACGUCGAGACUGGCGGAGGGCCACGCUAGGCUGAUGUACAGAUCGAAGGUUGAACUGAUGGACGCCAUAUUUGUGGUUAAGUUAAUCGGUACAGGACAUUCGUCUAAGGCUGAUACUGGAGGCUCAUUUCCGGAGGAUCCGAUGGCAACAUAUCAAUCUGAAGGUAGAAUAAUACUGAGAACUAUUGGCCUGGAACAACUGGAGAAUCUACUGUGAACGGUUGUGCUUCUAAGUUCCUGCGAAAUACUCGAUCCGAACGGAAGAGAUGGUCUCUGUGUGUAAACUAAAUCUUUUAUUUGUCACUUAAGUCUCUCUUUUUUUUUAUAUACUCGCUUACAUAAGUACAAAUACACCAGCAUAUUUAUAAAAUUUAAACAACCAUUUCCUUCCUGUUUGUACAAAACGAAUUUACUUUGUUGCUCAUCGCCAUUCAAUAAAUAUGUGGUCAAUCAUUAGAAUGAAUUUAAACAUCGUGUAAAAAUAGAUCUCGCGACAGCAGGAUCUGUUUGAUACCAGUCUCGACUAACAACGAGGUCCUGGAACCGUCCGCGUUCCCAGUUUUCCCUUUCUCUCGUUCCUCCCAGGCAAUUAUACUUGAUACACAGCGAUCCAAGUCGACUCGAGACGAUCAGACAUACACCCGGUUAAAGUAACGGCAACGAUCUAACCCAAUGUUCCCGUAGUCUAUAAAUAACGUAUCGUUCGUUAAUAAAUAAUGAAAACAUGCGAGAUCGUUCCCUCGCGGGAACCUUAAACCUUUACAAGAGCGAUCGAACAUUAUAUCAAGGAUCUGAAUAACAAGUAGCUUAAUAAAGAAAGGCCAUAUAUUACACAUUUGUGAGGAAUGUCACAGGACGAAUGUCGUCGGAGGGAGUAGAUUAAAAGGACAUCGACAUUUUCAUGUAUAAUAAUAAUUCAUCAUUAAAUUAACGAUUAAAUCGGUCAACAAUAUUGGACAAUUAUAAACUCUAUACUCGUGGACACGACUGUUCCAAUUAUUUGCGUUCUCUUUCUUUCUUUCUUUCUCUCUUUCCUUCUCUCUCUCUUUUUGAUUUUCAGCAAAAACCGAGGUGCGUUUCCCGUUCGAGAAAGCCGCG